GGAAGGGUGCAGGAGUGGUUGAACUGGCACGCCUGGAACGCGUGUAACGGAGCAAUCUGUUCGAGGGUUCGAAUCCCUCUCCUUCCGCCA
This 90-nucleotide transfer RNA is filed under the name TM7 phylum sp. oral taxon 351. RNAcentral describes it as "tRNA-Ser". It matches the Rfam family "tRNA". From Rfam's summary of the family: Transfer RNA (tRNA) molecules are approximately 80 nucleotides in length. Their secondary structure includes four short double-helical elements and three loops (D, anti-codon, and T loops). Further hydrogen bonds mediate the characteristic L-shaped molecular structure. tRNAs have two regions of fundamental functional importance: the anti-codon, which is responsible for specific mRNA codon recognition, and the 3' end, to which the tRNAs corresponding amino acid is attached (by aminoacyl-tRNA synthetases). tRNAs cope with the degeneracy of the genetic code in two manners: having more than one tRNA (with a specific anti-codon) for a particular amino acid; and 'wobble' base-pairing, i.e. permitting non-standard base-pairing at the 3rd anti-codon position. The record is from RNAcentral. Lineage: Bacteria; Candidatus Saccharimonadota. RNAcentral also lists the same sequence under 19 other names.